GUGUCAGCCGCCGCGGUAAUACGAGGGGGGCGAGCGUUGUUCGGAAUUAUUGGGCGUAAAGGGUGCGUAGGCGGUUUUGUAAGUCUUAUGUGAAAUCUAUGGGCUCAACUCAUAGACUGCAUGAGAAACUGCAGGGCUUGAGUAUGGGAGAGGUGAGUGGAAUUCCUGGUGUAGCGGUGAAAUGCGUAGAUAUCAGGAGGAACACCUGUGGCGAAAGCGGCUCACUGGACCAUAACUGACGCUGAUGCACGAAAGCUAGGGGAGCAAACAGGAUUAGAAACCCUCGUAGUCC
RNAcentral lists this ribosomal RNA (292 nucleotides) under uncultured bacterium. RNAcentral's name for it is "partial 16S ribosomal RNA". It matches the Rfam family "Bacterial small subunit ribosomal RNA", at positions 505 to 796 of the family's 1533-position model. The record is from RNAcentral.